Molecule: non-coding RNA, 29 nt
Filed under: Homo sapiens (human)
Lineage: Eukaryota; Metazoa; Chordata; Mammalia; Primates; Hominidae
Source: RNAcentral
UCCUCCAGCUUGAGAUUCUUCAGGGUAAC